GCUCUGGUGCUGAAAUUGGCAGACAGGCUAGCUUCAGAAGCUAGUGUUCGCAAGAACGUGAGAGUUCGAGUCUCUCCCAGAGCA
RNAcentral lists this transfer RNA (84 nucleotides) under Candidatus Levyibacteriota bacterium. Its description in RNAcentral is "tRNA-Leu". It matches the Rfam family "tRNA". Rfam says of the family: Transfer RNA (tRNA) molecules are approximately 80 nucleotides in length. Their secondary structure includes four short double-helical elements and three loops (D, anti-codon, and T loops). Further hydrogen bonds mediate the characteristic L-shaped molecular structure. tRNAs have two regions of fundamental functional importance: the anti-codon, which is responsible for specific mRNA codon recognition, and the 3' end, to which the tRNAs corresponding amino acid is attached (by aminoacyl-tRNA synthetases). tRNAs cope with the degeneracy of the genetic code in two manners: having more than one tRNA (with a specific anti-codon) for a particular amino acid; and 'wobble' base-pairing, i.e. permitting non-standard base-pairing at the 3rd anti-codon position. The record is from RNAcentral. Lineage: Bacteria; Candidatus Levyibacteriota.